GUUGUAUAGUUAAGUGACUAAGCGUACACGGUGGAUGCCUAGGCGGUAGAAGGCGACGAAGGACGUAGUAACUUGCGAUAAGCCACGGGGAGUGAGUAAACACGCUUUGAUCCGUGGAUUUCCGAAUGGGAAAACCCAUCCUUAUUAAGGAUAUCCCUAUAUGGGAGGCUAACCUGGAGAACUGAAACAUCUAAGUACCCAGAGGAAAAGAAAUCAACCGAGAUUCCCCAAGUAGCGGCGAGCGAACGGGGACCAGCCCUAAAGCAUUUAUUAAGAUAGCAGAACACUCUGGAAAGAGUGACGACACAAGGUGAUAGUCCUGUAUGCGAAAUCUUAUUAAGUGUUAUUCGAGUAGGACGGAACACGUGAAAUUCUGUCUGAACAUGGGGGGACCACCCUCCAAGGCUAAAUACUCUCUACCGACCGAUAGUGAACCAGUACCGUGAGGGAAAGGCGAAAAGAACCCCAGAAGGGGAGUGAAAUAGAACCUGAAACCGUGUACGUACAAGCAGUAGGAGCCCCUCAUUAAAGCAUCUUUGCUUUAGUGAGGAAAAGUUAAAUCUUAACUUAACGCAUUAAAGAAAAAUAGCGAAGCAAUGGCAAAACAGGUUGGACUUAUAUUUUGACCCGUAGCGCAAUGUGCCUAAAAGCACAUGAGCAACGGAAGCAAAAUAAAAGUCCAAGAUGUACAGCCAAUGCAAGCGGAAGGUUCUUUAAUGAGGGGUGACUGCGUACCUUUUGUAUAAUGGGUCAGCGACUUACAUUAUGUAGCGAGGUUAACUGAAUAAGGGAGCCGAAGGGAAACCGAGUCUUAAAUGGGCGACUAGUUGCAUGGUGUAGACCCGAAACCGGGCGAUCUAUCCAUGGCCAGGUUGAAGGUGCCGUAACAGGUACUGGAGGACCGAACCCACGUAUGUUGAAAAAUGCGGGGAUGAGCUGUGGAUCGGAGUGAAAGGCUAAUCAAGCCCGGAGAUAGCUGGUUCUCCUCGAAAACUAUUUAGGUAGUGCCUCAUGUAUCACUGUUGGGGGUAGAGCACUGUUAUGGUCUAGCGGGCCGUCAAGGCUUAGCAGCCCAUUGCAAACUCCGAAUACCAACAAGUGCAAUCAUGGGAGACAGACAGCGGGUGCUAACGUCCGUUGUCAAGAGGGAAACAACCCAGACCACCAGCUAAGGUCCCUAAACACUACUCAGUGGGAAAGGAUGUGGGAAGGCUUAGACAGUCAGGAGGUUGGCUUAGAAGCAGCCACCCUUUAAAGAAAGCGUAAUAGCUCACUGAUCGAGUCGGCCUGCGCCGAAGAUUUAACGGGGCUAAGUAGUGUACCGAAGCUGUGGAUGCGUGCAUUCUCUUAAAAUUAUUUAUCAAGCUGUCGCAANNNNNNNNNAAUGGAUCGAGAGGUUUGGGAGGAGAUGAGUUGUUUUAAGUGAAUGCACGCAUGGUAGAGGAGCGUCGUGUAAGCCUGCGAAGGGGCUCUGUAAGGAGUCCUGGAGGUAUCACGAGUGCGAAUGCUGACAUGAGUAGCGAUAAAGGGAGUGAAAAGCUCCCUCGCCGAAAGACCAAGGUUUCCUACGCAACGCUAAUCGACGUAGGGUUAGUCGACCCCUAAGACGAGGCCGAAAGGCGUAGUCGAUGGGAAGCAGGUUAAUAUUCCUGCACUUUUUAUAACUGCGAUGGAGGGACGGAGAAGGCUAAACUAGCUUGCUGAUGGUUGCAAGUUUAAGGUAGUAGGCAGAGAUCUUAGGCAAAUCCGGGAUCUUAAUGCUGAGAACUGAUGACGAGUCCUGAAUUGGACGAAGUAGUUGAUGCCAUGCUUCCAAGAAAAGCUUCUAAGCUUCAGGUUAUAAAGAAUCGUACCCCAAACCAACACAGGUGGUCAGGAUGAGAAUUCCAAGGCGCUUGAGAGAACUCGGGUGAAGGAACUAGGCAAAAUAACACCGUAACUUCGGGAGAAGGUGUGCCCCUGAUGGUGAAGCACUUGCUGCGUAAGCUAUUAGGGGUUGCAGAGACCAGGUGGCUGCAACUGUUUACUAAAAACAUAGCACUGUGCAAAAUCGAAAGAUGACGUAUACGGUGUGACGCCUGCCCGGUGCCGGAAGGUUAAUUGAUGGGGUUAGCUUAUGCGAAGCUCUUGAUCGAAGCCCCGGUAAACGGCGGCCGUAACUAUAACGGUCCUAAGGUAGCGAAAUUCCUUGUCGGGUAAGUUCCGACCUG
RNAcentral lists this ribosomal RNA (2210 nucleotides) under Piscirickettsiaceae bacterium CG_4_9_14_3_um_filter_43_564. Its description in RNAcentral is "bacterial LSU rRNA". It matches the Rfam family "Bacterial large subunit ribosomal RNA", at positions 1 to 1990 of the family's 2925-position model. Lineage: Bacteria; Pseudomonadati; Pseudomonadota; Gammaproteobacteria; Thiotrichales; Piscirickettsiaceae. The record is from RNAcentral.